GGGCAUGUGGUGUAGUUGGUUAUCACGCUCGCUUAGCAUUCCAUGAUUUGCUUGCGAGAGGGGUCCGGUUCAAUCCCGGACAUGUCCA
RNAcentral lists this transfer RNA (88 nucleotides) under Panus rudis PR-1116 ss-1. Its description in RNAcentral is "tRNA-Ala". It matches the Rfam family "tRNA". From Rfam's summary of the family: Transfer RNA (tRNA) molecules are approximately 80 nucleotides in length. Their secondary structure includes four short double-helical elements and three loops (D, anti-codon, and T loops). Further hydrogen bonds mediate the characteristic L-shaped molecular structure. tRNAs have two regions of fundamental functional importance: the anti-codon, which is responsible for specific mRNA codon recognition, and the 3' end, to which the tRNAs corresponding amino acid is attached (by aminoacyl-tRNA synthetases). tRNAs cope with the degeneracy of the genetic code in two manners: having more than one tRNA (with a specific anti-codon) for a particular amino acid; and 'wobble' base-pairing, i.e. permitting non-standard base-pairing at the 3rd anti-codon position. The record is from RNAcentral. Lineage: Eukaryota; Fungi; Basidiomycota; Agaricomycetes; Polyporales; Panaceae.